GGCAGGCUGCUGUGUGCGACCACAUAUGGAAGCAUGCCCGAACCGAUAGACUAUAAAUGGGGGCGGCCCCUUUGAGUUGAUGUCAUGCCUUUUCAGGAAGACAGAUACAUGAAGGAUGUCCCCAACCUGUUGAGCAACGGGAACGUGGCUCUAGCUCCAUGGACGGCACAGCGGCUUAACU
Molecule: non-coding RNA, 181 nt
Filed under: Verrucomicrobiaceae bacterium R5-34
Lineage: Bacteria; Pseudomonadati; Verrucomicrobiota; Verrucomicrobiia; Verrucomicrobiales; Verrucomicrobiaceae
Also listed under: 1 other name
Description: 6S RNA
Rfam family: 6S / SsrS RNA
About the family: E. coli 6S RNA was the first non coding RNA to be sequenced, but its function was unknown until recently.
Source: RNAcentral